UUAGCAUGUGCAGGCGACGGAAACCAGGAAGCCGGUGCGAGUCCGGCACGGUCCCGCCACUGUGAUCGGGGAGCCGAACCCCCCGCGCGCCACGGUGCCCCGCACCGGAAGGCCGGGUGAGGCGUUGAUCCGCGAGUCAGGAGACUGGGCCGUCGCUGCUUCGUCCAC
RNAcentral lists this non-coding RNA (168 nucleotides) under Marinactinospora thermotolerans. Lineage: Bacteria; Bacillati; Actinomycetota; Actinomycetes; Streptosporangiales; Nocardiopsidaceae. The record is from RNAcentral.